GCGAGCGUUAAUCGGAAUUACUGGGCGUAAAGCGUACGCAGGCGGUCUGUUAAGUCAGAUGUGAAAUCCCCGGGCUUAACCUGGGAACUGCAUUUGAAACUGGCAGGCUAGAGUCUCGUAGAGGGGGGUAGAAUUCCAGGUGUAGCGGUGAAAUGCGUAGAGAUCUGGAGGAAUACCGGUGGCGAAGGCGGCCCCCUGGACGAAGACUGACGCUCAGGUACGAAAGCGUGGGGAGCAGACAGGAUUAGAUACCCUGGUAGUCCACGCUGUAAACGAUGUCGAUUUGAAGGUUGUGGCCUUGAGCCGUGGCUUUCGGAGCUAACGCGUUAAAUCGACCGCCUGGGGAGUACGGCCGCAAGGUUAAAACUCAAAUGAAUUGACGGGGGCCCGCACAAGCGGUGGAGCAUGUGGUUUAAUUCGAUGCAACGCGAAGAACCUUACCUACUCUUGACAUCCAGAGAACUUAGCAGAGAUGCUUUGGUGCCUUCGGGAACUCUGAGACAGGUGCUGCAUGGCUGUCGUCAGCUCGUGUUGUGAAAUGUUGGGUUAAGUCCCGCAACGAGCGCAACCCUUAUCCUUUGUUGCCAGCGAUUUGGUCGGGAACUCAAAGGAGACUGCCGGUGAUAAACCGGAGGAAGGUGGGGAUGACGUCAAGUCAUCAUGGCCCUUACGAGUAGGGCUACACACGUGCUACAAUGGCGCAUACAAAGAGAAGCGAUCUCGCGAGAGUCAGCGGACCUCAUAAAGUGCGUCGUAGUCCGGAUUGGAGUCUGCAACUCGACUCCAUGAAGUCGGAAUCGCUAGUAAUCGUGGAUCAGAAUGCCACGGUGAAUACGUUCCCGGGCCUUGUACACACCGCCCGUCACACCAUGGGAGUGGGUUGCAAAAGAAGUAGGUAGC
Molecule: ribosomal RNA, 900 nt
Filed under: uncultured bacterium
Lineage: Bacteria
Description: bacterial SSU rRNA
Rfam family: Bacterial small subunit ribosomal RNA
Source: RNAcentral